UGCCAGCAGCCGCGGUAAUACAGAGGGUGCAAACGUUGUUCGGAAUCACUGGGCUUAAAGCGCGCGUAGGCGGCGACAUCAGUGUCUUGUGAAAGCCCCCGGCUCAACCGGGGAACUGCAGGGCAUACUGUGUUGCUAGAGUACGAGAGGGGAGAGGAGAACUCCUGGUGGAGCGGUGGAAUGCGUAGAUAUCAGGAGGAAUGCCGAAGGUGAAGACACCUCUCUGGCUCGUAACUGACGCUAAGGCGCGAAAGCUAGGGUAGCGAACGGGAUUAGAUA
This 279-nucleotide ribosomal RNA is filed under the name uncultured bacterium. RNAcentral describes it as "partial 16S ribosomal RNA". It matches the Rfam family "Bacterial small subunit ribosomal RNA", at positions 506 to 784 of the family's 1533-position model. The record is from RNAcentral.